RNAcentral lists this ribosomal RNA (465 nucleotides) under uncultured bacterium. Its description in RNAcentral is "partial 16S ribosomal RNA". It matches the Rfam family "Bacterial small subunit ribosomal RNA", at positions 28 to 507 of the family's 1533-position model. The record is from RNAcentral.
GACGAACGCUGGCGGCGUGCUUAACACAUGCAAGUCGAACGGAAAGGCCCCCUUGUGGGGUACUCGAGUGGCGAACGGGUGAGUAACACGUGAGUAACCUACCCUUGACUUUGGGAUAACUUCAGGAAACUGGGGCUAAUACCGGAUAGGAGCUCCUGCUGCAUGGUGGGGGUUGGAAAGUUUCGGCGGUUGGGGAUGGGCUCGCGGCUUAUCAGCUUGUUGGUGGGGUAGUGGCUCACCAAGGCUUUGACGGGUAGCCGGCCUGAGAGGGUGACCGGCCACAUUGGGACUGAGAUACGGCCCAGACUCCUACGGGAGGCAGCAGUGGGGAAUAUUGCACAAUGGGCGGAAGCCUGAUGCGGCAACGCCGCGUGCGGGAUGACGGCCUUCGGGUUGUAAACCGCUUUCGCCUGUGACGAAGCGUGAGUGACGGUAAUGGGUAAAGAAGCACCGGCUAACUACGUG